Molecule: ribosomal RNA, 440 nt
Filed under: uncultured bacterium
Lineage: Bacteria
Description: partial 16S ribosomal RNA
Rfam family: Bacterial small subunit ribosomal RNA
Source: RNAcentral
CCUACGGGAGACUGCAGUAGGGAAUAUUGCUCAAUGGGGGAAACCCUGAAGCAGCAACGCCGCGUGGAGGAUGAAGGUUUUCGGAUUGUAAACUCCUUUUGUUAGAGAAGAUAAUGACGGUAUCUAACGAAUAAGCACCGGCUAACUCCGUGCCAGCAGCCGCGGUACUACGGAGGGUGCAAGCGUUACUCGGAAUCACUGGGCGUAAAGAGCGCGUAGGCGGGAUAGCAAGUCAGAUGUGAAAUCCUAUGGCUUAACCAUAGAACUGCAUUUGAAACUGUUAUUCUAGAGUAUGGGAGAGGUAGGUGGAAUUCUUGGUGUAGGGGUAAAAUCCGUAGAGAUCAAGAGGAAUACUCAUUGCGAAGGCGAACUGCUAGAACAUAACUGACGCUGAUGCGCGAAAGCGUGGGGAGCAAACAGGAUUAGAUACCCCAGUAGUC